This 495-nucleotide ribosomal RNA is filed under the name uncultured bacterium. RNAcentral describes it as "partial 16S ribosomal RNA". It matches the Rfam family "Bacterial small subunit ribosomal RNA", at positions 28 to 507 of the family's 1533-position model. The record is from RNAcentral.
GACGAACGCUGGCGGCGUGCCUAAUACAUGCAAGUAGAACGCUGAAGGAGGAGCUUGCUUCUCUGGAUGAGUUGCGAACGGGUGAGUAACGCGUAGGUAACCUGCCUGGUAGCGGGGGAUAACUAUUGGAAACGAUAGCUAAUACCGCAUAAUAGCAGUUAUUGCAUGAUAACUGUUUGAAAGGUGCAAUUGCACCACUACCAGAUGGACCUGCGUUGUAUUAGCUAGUUGGUGGGGUAACGGCUCACCAAGGCGACGAUACAUAGCCGACCUGAGAGGGUGAUCGGCCACACUGGGAAUGAGACACGGCCCAGACUCCUACGGGAGGCAGCAGUAGGGAAUCUUCGGCAAUGGACGGAAGUCUGACCGAGCAACGCCGCGUGAGUGAAGAAGGUUUUCGGAUCGUAAAGCUCUGUUGUAAGAGAAGAACGAGUGUGAGAGUGGAAAGCUCACACUGUGACGGUAUCUUACCAGAAAGGGACGGCUAACUACGUG